RNAcentral lists this ribosomal RNA (483 nucleotides) under uncultured Clostridium sp. RNAcentral describes it as "bacterial SSU rRNA". It matches the Rfam family "Bacterial small subunit ribosomal RNA", at positions 8 to 506 of the family's 1533-position model. Lineage: Bacteria; Bacillati; Bacillota; Clostridia; Eubacteriales; Clostridiaceae. The record is from RNAcentral.
AGAGUUUGAUCCUGGCUCAGGACGAACGCUGGCGGCGUGCCUAACACAUGCAAGUCGAGCGAUGAAGUUCCUUCGGGAAACGGAUUAGCGGCGGACGGGUGAGUAACACGUGGGUAACCUGCCUUAUAGUGGGGGAUAGCCUUCCGAAAGGAAGAUUAAUACCGCAUAAGAUUGUAGUAUCGCAUGAUAUAGCAAUUAAAGGAGACAAUCCGCUAUAAGAUGGACCCGCGUCGCAUUAGCUAGUUGGUGAGGUAAUGGCUCACCAAGGCGACGAUGCGUAGCCGACCUGAGAGGGUGAUCGGCCACAUUGGGACUGAGACACGGCCCAGACUCCUACGGGAGGCAGCAGUGGGGAAUAUUGCACAAUGGGCGAAAGCCUGAUGCAGCAACGCCGCGUGAGUGAUGACGGCCUUCGGGUUGUAAAACUCUGUCUUCAGGGACGAUAAUGACGGUACCUGAGGAGGAAGCCACGGCUAACUACGU